AGCCUAAAGAUGAGGUUUCUCAUUGCGAAAGCAAGUAAGGCCCCAUGAAGACGACAUGGUUGAUAGGCCGGGAGUGGAAGUGCAGCAAUGCAUGGAGCGGACCGGUACUAAUAGGCCGAGGACUUAUCUUA
This 131-nucleotide ribosomal RNA is filed under the name Megasphaera micronuciformis. RNAcentral's name for it is "partial 23S ribosomal RNA". It matches the Rfam family "Bacterial large subunit ribosomal RNA", at positions 2795 to 2925 of the family's 2925-position model. The record is from RNAcentral. Lineage: Bacteria; Bacillati; Bacillota; Negativicutes; Veillonellales; Veillonellaceae.